This 118-nucleotide ribosomal RNA is filed under the name Escherichia coli. Its description in RNAcentral is "partial 23S ribosomal RNA". It matches the Rfam family "Eukaryotic large subunit ribosomal RNA", at positions 315 to 432 of the family's 3401-position model. Lineage: Bacteria; Pseudomonadati; Pseudomonadota; Gammaproteobacteria; Enterobacterales; Enterobacteriaceae. The record is from RNAcentral.
GCUAAAUACGACCACGAGUCCGAUAGCGAACAAGUACAGUGAUGGAAAAUUGAAAAGCACUUUGAAGAGAGAGUGAAACAGUGCGUGAAACCGCUUAGAGGCAAGCAGUUGGGGCCUC